This 882-nucleotide ribosomal RNA is filed under the name Bacillus aerius. RNAcentral's name for it is "bacterial SSU rRNA". It matches the Rfam family "Bacterial small subunit ribosomal RNA", at positions 55 to 921 of the family's 1533-position model. Lineage: Bacteria; Bacillati; Bacillota; Bacilli; Caryophanales; Bacillaceae. The record is from RNAcentral.
AUGCAGUCGAGCGGACAGAAGGGAGCUUGCUCCCGGAUGUUAGCGGCGGACGGGUGAGUAACACGUGGGUAACCUGCCUGUAAGACUGGGAUAACUCCGGGAAACCGGAGCUAAUACCGGAUAGUUCCUUGAACCGCAUGGUUCAAGGAUGAAAGACGGUUUCGGCUGUCACUUACAGAUGGACCCGCGGCGCAUUAGCUAGUUGGUGAGGUAACGGCUCACCAAGGCGACGAUGCGUAGCCGACCUGAGAGGGUGAUCGGCCACACUGGGACUGAGACACGGCCCAGACUCCUACGGGAGGCAGCAGUAGGGAAUCUUCCGCAAUGGACGAAAGUCUGACGGAGCAACGCCGCGUGAGUGAUGAAGGUUUUCGGAUCGUAAAGCUCUGUUGUUAGGGAAGAACAAGUGCAAGAGUAACUGCUUGCACCUUGACGGUACCUAACCAGAAAGCCACGGCUAACUACGUGCCAGCAGCCGCGGUAAUACGUAGGUGGCAAGCGUUGUCCGGAAUUAUUGGGCGUAAAGGGCUCGCAGGCGGUUUCUUAAGUCUGAUGUGAAAGCCCCCGGCUCAACCGGGGAGGGUCAUUGGAAACUGGGAAACUUGAGUGCAGAAGAGGAGAGUGGAAUUCCACGUGUAGCGGUGAAAUGCGUAGAGAUGUGGAGGAACACCAGUGGCGAAGGCGACUCUCUGGUCUGUAACUGACGCUGAGGAGCGAAAGCGUGGGGAGCGAACAGGAUUAGAUACCCUGGUAGUCCACGCCGUAAACGAUGAGUGCUAAGUGUUAGGGGUUUCCGCCCCUUAGUGCUGCAGCUAACGCAUUAAGCACUCCGCCUGGGGAGUACGGUCGCAAGACUGAAACUCAAAGGAAUUGACGGGGGCC